This is a long non-coding RNA of Toxorhynchites rutilus septentrionalis, 5798 nucleotides long. RefSeq lists it as uncharacterized. NCBI's taxonomy places the organism in Eukaryota, Metazoa, Arthropoda, Insecta, Diptera, Culicidae. The transcript is spliced from 3 exons. The record is from RefSeq and is a predicted model, not a curated record.
AUUAUUGUAUAACAGGUGAAGCAACAUCAUCACCUCAAUGAAUGCAGGCUUUUUGAAGCAGCCUAUGCUGCUGAUAAAACAGUGGAUGAACCGGGUAUUUGUUGUUGCUGCUGCUGUAGCACAACCGCACUUCGGGAUAUUUUCCGUUGUGGUACCGCAGGAGCAGACAGAAAUUCUGGUAUUUUUUUGUUCCAGUCCAGCUUAUAGAGCAACAGUUCCAUUAUUUGCAAGUGGUUUUCCGUGUUGUACACGAUUUGACUGGAAAAAAAUAAACAAACGCAUUAACAUGGGACAGUCAGACAAGGCUGGCAAGCAUACUUACAAAAUUUUCUCCCUAGAAGGACACAUUAGAAUAUGGCACCACACUUGUAUAAGUAUUGUCGGUUUCUCUCUCAGUUCCCGCUGGUAUGCAUUUGGCAUAUACGCAUCAGAUGUAUCAUGAUAUACUUGAGCGUUGUGGUAAAUUGGCAGAUCCUGGAUAUGCAAACGGAUUGCUACGCAUCACUGGUAGUUUAUUUGUGGACAGAUACAUGGAUAGUUAGUAAAAAGUUAUAUAAAUAGUAUAGGAUAUCCUACUUGAGGCUUACGACGAAUUUGUCGUAAAACAUAACCGGAAUGAUCGGAUCGGGCAGCCCUCGUAAGAACUUCUUUAGCACCGUGGCUACACACUCCAGUUAGUAGCUGCCCAGAUCGGUGUUGAUUAGAUUUUCGUUGAGUGAGUCACGCAGUUUGUUAACCUCGUCGUGGUUCGAUGACGUCGUCCGAUACAGCUUAUACAGAUCCAGGUUCAAGUUACACAUCGCUUUCUGUUUGAGCUCGUUGCAAAGUAUUAUAACAAUCUGCGGCGCUAGCAAAGACCAAGCCCAAAGACCUGCUGACUACGGCUGGUCAACGUUAUCGUCCGACUGCCACGGUUCAAGUACCGUGGCCGAGCACUGCUGAUGCACUAUGUGAUUACACUGCUUGCAUAGCGUUCCCUGAUGUAUCAACCACCGCAAGUAUUGCUGACAUUUAUCACAUUUAACCAGCUUAGAAAAAUAAUGGUCCACCAAAUCAUGCAGGUGUUUAUCGGCUGAGUUAUCACCAUCUUCGCCGGUUAUCCCCAGUACGAUACCACCACCUCCACUGGUGGGUUGCAAUGUAUCACCACUGUAAAUCGGUUUCUCUGCGCUCUGCGCGAUUAGGUAAACCAUAUGUAAAAACCUACAGUACAGCAACGAAAUGAAAUAAUAAGCCAAAUAAUAAUGAUUCUAAAUAAUUUACCUUAAUUGUUGUUAUCAGCACGGCGAAAAUUGAAAUAAUAACAAAUAGUUUUCGCGGUUGCCAAGGAUGACAAUUGUCUGAGUUACCAAUAACUCACAGUAAAAUGUACCAAUCGUUGGUAAGGAUGUGUAUUGCAUCUGACAUUUAUUUUACUAUCGGUCGGUAAUAUUUACAGAUAAUUUGUACAUUCUACUAAUGUUUGGCUUACCAAAGAUUUGGUACUUUAUUUUAGUAAUACGUCUUCUGGGUGUAGGAUACACCAUUUUUGCAUUUUCACAUGCAGUAGUGGAAAUGAGAAUGAAAUUCUACAAAAUCAUCCCUUCUUUUUCACAUAAAUUCGCGAAAGCCGAACAUAGUAGGCAUUGUUCGAAUAAGCGUCGUAGCCGUUUGUAGAGAGCCGCCGGCAGCGUUCUGAUGCUGUUUAUAAACAAUACCGACAGCAAUUCCAAUAUGGUUGAAAGUGCAUUUCAUAUGAUUGUUUCACCUGGUAUAUAUAGAGGCGCCUUGGUUCGAACCUGAGAGAGAGGAGCCAGCUCGCGUUUGUUGUGAUCACACUUAUGUCAGCGCGAACCAGUCACGGUGAACCAAGGGGAAGUAUUGAAAUAUGUAGAAAAUUUCAACAUGACAUUUUUUUGCAAGACGUUUUAUGUGAAAAUAAUGUUGACGUCGGACUACAUCUUUCAUUUCUAUACUGGGGUGUAAGUUCAAAGCUUCGAGAACGAGAGUGUUACAUUGGAGAAACAGGAUUUUGAGCAAUAAACCCUCUUCGCCGGAUGAAAAAAAUGGUAUGAUAACCGCUUCAUUCAAAAGAUAAAAUGUCUACGCGUUAUAUGUGUGUUACUUAUUGAUCCAAAAACUUGUUUCAACAGCUCAAAAAUUGUUUUGAAAGCUAGCUAUUGAAAUCACAAAAAUCUGUAUAUAAGUAGAUGCCAGCUCCACUCAAUUAUAAUCGUACAGCGGUUAGAUCAUUUUGGAACAGUUACUGCUGCAAAAAACAAAAACAAACUUGCUGCUGUGAAGAAGGCGACCAGCAAGAAGAAAGCUGCUGCUACUGCUGGUGUGGCUGCCCGAAAGCAAAAUACUGCGGUCAAAUAUAUUCUUUUUGUAAUUUCUUCGAUCAAGUGCGAUCAACGUAAGAUUACAUCUUUCGAGCACUUAUUAGGAGUACAAUGAAUCUUGAGAAAGACAAUUCAUUCCUGCUCGACACUCGCACAAAAAAUGUUCACUCAUCAAUGUCACAAACGGGAAGUGGGUGUUGUGAGGGAGGGCAGAGUGAGCGCAACAUUUACGCAGACUGAUUGGAAGCGACAGAUAUGUUGUAUAUGGGAAGUGGUAUACAAAUUAUAUCACACAUAAAGGGGAGAAAGAAUCUUGACCCUUUUAGUUUUUUGGACAAGACUAUUGGUUCACCUUCACUAUCGGUCAAUUCGAUUGGAUCUUCAGUGAUACUAUUGCCUUGAUUAAACUUGCAUGUCAAAUUUAAAUAUUGCAUAUGAAUGGUCCAUCAGUGAUGGGCAGGAAUAUCAUGGCAAAGAUUAUGAGAGACUGGUAGUAUAAUUCUCAUCUUCAUCCGAAUGCCUGUUAAAAAUGCAGACUCAGCAUUCUUUUUAGUCAACCUAGUAUUAUUUCCAUCGGACACAAACAAAAUUCCCUCAAAAUGCACCUGAGAGAAAUCAAUGUUGGCUAUUUCCAUUGGAAGAUUAGCUCUUAUUUUAUUUUUAUUUUUUUUUUGUCUGUAUUAUAGUGAUUUUCAACUCAUUUGGCUGGUUCGUCACUUUUACUUCCAUUUUUGGAAGAAUGUCGGGAGUGAGAAUUGAACUCGUGACCUUCAGCGUGAGAGGCAUGGAUGUUACCACUACGCCAGAUCGCCUCCCUUCUCUUAUUUUAUGUAUUCCACAUACACACAGGUUUUUUUCACGCGGGGGAUACGUAUCUCGUAAAAAAACCGCGUUAAUUGAAAAAUCCGCGUAAAAAAAACCGCGUAAAAAAACCUGGAAGAACGCUGCAUAUUCAAAUUGCAUCGGAGAUAGACAAUCAUCGCCCACAUUGCAAAAAUCGAUUCGUCGAGCUUGCAGCAAUAGAUCAACCUGGAACCAGUGAAAGAAUACAAGAAUUCGCGAAAACUGAAUGAACGAUCGGAAAAAGUCACAAAUGGGCCCAAAACACCCAUAAAUUCACACAAGAUCUCCACCAACAAACAAAUCAUAAAGGUCGGUUUGCUUCUAAUUUCGGAUUUUGUUUUAGAAAUCAUCGAAAUAAUUCUUUAGGACAACUAUAUCGAAAUUAUCAAAAGUAAAAAAUGUUUGAAUGGGCCGAUGCCGCUAGAAGCCAUGAUGUGGGCUGACCUGGUACAUCUUUUAUUAUUUCCUACAUGAUCAGUGUUCAAAUUUUUACCCCCCAUAUAUUCCUGUUGGACGCAGUCCUAUGUCAAAAAUCUAAUCGGGGAUAAAACGCACAAAUGUACUCACUAACAAAACUUCACGUCAAGUUUGAACACUUUUCUCAUAAAUGAAUGACAACAACUUGCUUGAUUGAAAUUGUCAGUUUGGAAUUUUCUUGAUGAGAAUGCGUAAAUAUAAUAAGAAGAAAACAAACUAUCUGUCAUUCAGCUGGCUCCUCUCUCUCAAGGCCCAUUUAUACGUUGCUAGUAGCUGACUUCACAAUGAGCAGCUACUGACCCGGUGAACUCGCUUGACAAAUGGUUGACUCGCCUUGUCCGUUCACACAAUGUGAGCUGCUGACAAGAAACCAGAUACCACGACACGGGUUUACCAGAGAUGCCAGGCGAUUUUUCAAAUGUCCAUCAAAUAGUCAGAAACAGCAAUCAGGUCCGAAUUUGUCAGAUGAUUGAUCCGAAAUCGGCUUCUUUAUUGGCAGUUUUCAUCUUAGGUUUUCAGUUGAAUUUAUCAUUACACAAUUUUAUAGCGAAACACACGCUGGCCGUGUUUAAAAAUACUUUGUGCUGAAUUUAUUUUAUACUGAAGGUACUAUCCGAAAAAAGCAGAAAGAAAAAAGGAUUCGGGCCAGGAAUUGGAUGCAAAGAAAAGAAGCAACAAAUACAAUAUUGAAGUAACUCUACAAUGAUGAUCUCCGAGAGUACAGAGCAGUGUUGAGAAUAACACCUGAAAAAGUGAGAAAACUGUUGGAUUUAAUUGCUCCACAAAUAUAACGCCAAGAUACACUCAUGAAGGAUGCUAAACCUACAAGAGUGAAACUAGAAAUGAUGUGCCUUUCUUCUGGAAUAUCGUUCAGAUUAUUGUCGAAUUUUUUUAAAAUCUCGAAAGCAUCCAUAGCUAAAAUAAUUCCGAAAGUAUGUGGUGCUCCAAAUGGCAGUCUAAAAGAUUUUUCAAAAUUUGAUUUAUUUCGCCUUGACAGCAGCUUCGUGUACCAAUUUGUGAAAUAAAAAUGUUAGUAGAUUUGCAGGAGCAAUUAAUACGCCUCAAAAACUAAAAUAAUGAAUGAAAAUCUACUUUUUCUAAAUCGAAUAUGUAUUCUGUUUCUUAGAACAAUACUUUUUUGCAAGUUUUGAGUGAAUUUUGAAUUAAAAUCGUGCCCGAUAAUGAUUUUAUAUUUAGAUCCCCAAGAAAACUAUUUUUAAAAAACGUGCCCCGUCAGCGUGCAAAACUAAAUAAUAACGAUUCCGUUUAGAAACUAUGAGGGUUUAAUUUGUUCUUCCAAUAAUUUUCAAGUCUAUAAAUAUCUUCGCAUAUUUUCAAAUAUCUUAAAAAUAGAGAAAUGUAAAGACAAUGUCAAGAUUUGGCAUCCCUGAUUCGAGCGCUAAAAUCUGUUUUUGACGUUUUGAGGGAUGCGAGUGCGAGUAAAUUCAAAAAACUUUGAAGUAGCUCGCACACCGAAUCACACAUGACACUAGCUGGCAUGAUGUGUUCACACGGUGUGAGUAGCUGCACUGCAGUAACUGACUAGACCGACUCGUAUGUUUACUCGCACCGUCUGAACCCGGCUUCAGGUUCGAACCAAGGCACCUCUACACUGGAGAAAUAGUUUAGUAAAUGCAUUUACCAAAUCUUUAGUAGCCAAAACAUUGGUAAAAUAUACAAAUUUUUCGUAAAUAUUACCAAAAUUCAGUAAAAGUGAUGCCAGAUUCAUUGAACGUCCCUACCAGAGAUUCGUAUAUUUUACUCCAUACCAUUAGUAAUCUUGUUUUUUUGUCAUACCUAACAUUUGUGAUGUGCGCACUUUGAAAUCGUCAUUUCUCUUUGGAAAACGGAACGAUUCGGAGACUAAAUGGACAGAGCGAGCGGCUGAAUUUGAACCGCACAGUAUACUAUCAGGACAACUGUACUAUCCAAAAGAAAUCUCAGGAAUAUGGGAGCACGAAAUACGGACGAAACCAGAGCGAUGCAAUAGGAAGAGAAACGGGAGCUGGUUGAAGUACCCGUGAUUAUGGAAAAGCGCAUGAAAUUGAUGUGGUUGAGGCUGCGUUUAUAACUCUCCCCUUGUACACUGCUUAUAAUAUAAUUGCAACGAGAUUUAAUGACGUUAUUAUGUAUUAUGUUAUUAUUAUUGACGAUAAU